RNAcentral lists this ribosomal RNA (450 nucleotides) under uncultured bacterium. Its description in RNAcentral is "bacterial SSU rRNA". It matches the Rfam family "Bacterial small subunit ribosomal RNA", at positions 354 to 796 of the family's 1533-position model. The record is from RNAcentral.
GUGGGGAAUUUUGGACAAUGGGCGCAAGCCUGAUCCAGCAAUGCCGCGUGCAGGAAGAAGGCCUUCGGGUUGUAAACUGCUUUUGUACGGAACGAAACGGUCCGGGUUAAUACCCUGGGCUAAUGACGGUACCGUAAGAAUAAGCACCGGCUAACUACGUGCCAGCAGCCGCGGUAAUACGUAGGGUGCAAGCGUUAAUCGGAAUUACUGGGCGUAAAGCGUGCGCAGGCGGUUUUGUAAGACAGGCGUGAAAUCCCCGGGCUCAACCUGGGAAUUGCGCUUGUGACUGCAAGGCUGGAGUGCGGCAGAGGGGGAUGGAAUUCCGCGUGUAGCAGUGAAAUGCGUAGAUAUGCGGAGGAACACCGAUGGCGAAGGCAAUCCCCUGGGCCUGCACUGACGCUCAUGCACGAAAGCGUGGGGAGCAAACAGGAUUAGAAACCCCUGUAGUCC